UCCUUGGUGGCUUGGAGGUUAAAGCGUCUGCCUACAAUGUGGGAGACCCAGGUUUGAUCCCUGGGUUGGGAA
Molecule: transfer RNA, 72 nt
Organism: Ovis aries (sheep)
Lineage: Eukaryota; Metazoa; Chordata; Mammalia; Artiodactyla; Bovidae
Rfam family: tRNA
About the family: Transfer RNA (tRNA) molecules are approximately 80 nucleotides in length. Their secondary structure includes four short double-helical elements and three loops (D, anti-codon, and T loops).
Source: Rfam